Molecule: long non-coding RNA, 180 nt
Organism: Macrobrachium nipponense
Lineage: Eukaryota; Metazoa; Arthropoda; Malacostraca; Decapoda; Palaemonidae
Exons: 3
Source: RefSeq, a predicted model, not a curated record
AAAAGUCACGUUCUCCUAAGCAUUGACUUCAAUCCCUUCUUGCUCGGAUGGACUACGUGGUUUCGCAACUCUACUGAAGGUUGUUCAUGGGUUUAUUGUACAUAGUGGUAUGGAGGAGAAGCUGAUUAUUGAAGAGGAAGAGCCCUGUGUCAUGCACUUGACACAUUUGCAAUAAAUAAU